GACUGUAUACCAUCACUGGUGAAAAUAACUUGUGUUCUGUCCUUUGUCAGCUACAUUCUCACAAAAACAUUUAUACUAAUAACUUACAGCACUGCCUCGACAAUAGCAUCACUUACAUUGAUUCACCUAAAGUAAACUAAGUUAUAACAUUGUUUUAAGGAAGAAUUAAAAUCAUGGACCGAAGAGGAUGACAACCAUUUAACCCUCAAGUUUGGUCCAGUGCCGUGUAGAUUACCAGGAGGCAUCAAGACGUGCAUCCUUCGACCAGUAGCCAGGUUUUCACCAGCAGCGACAGAAUGGCCAAGAGCAAGUUUCAGUACGUCUGUAACUUCGAGACAGACGACACCUGUCUGAAAAACUGUUACAUUGUGGUGCGGUUGGAUGGGAGGAACUUCCACAAGUUUUGCAGAGCAGCACAACUUCCUGAAGCCCAACGACGACAGAGCUCUGGUCUGAUUGACGUUCAGCGCCAGGUCCUGUC
This is a long non-coding RNA of Salvelinus sp. IW2-2015, 481 nucleotides long. RefSeq lists it as uncharacterized. NCBI's taxonomy places the organism in Eukaryota, Metazoa, Chordata, Actinopteri, Salmoniformes, Salmonidae. The record is from RefSeq and is a predicted model, not a curated record.